Molecule: ribosomal RNA, 402 nt
Filed under: uncultured bacterium
Lineage: Bacteria
Description: bacterial SSU rRNA
Rfam family: Bacterial small subunit ribosomal RNA
Source: RNAcentral
GACGAACGCUGGCGGCGUGCUUAACACAUGCAAGUCGAGCGGUAAGGCCCUUUCGGGGGUACGACGAGCGGCGAACGGGUGAGUAACACGUGGGUGACCUGCCCUCAGCUCUGGGAUAAGCCUGGGAAACCGGGUCUAAUACCGGAUAUGACUCCAUGACGCAUGUUGUGGGGUGGAAAGCCUUGUGCGGCUGAGGAUGGGCCCGCGGCCUAUCAGCUUGUUGGUGGGGUGAUGGCCUACCAAGGCGACGACGGGUAGCCGGCCUGAGAGGGCGACCGGCCACACUGGGACUGAGACACGGCCCAGACUCCUACGGGAGGCAGCAGUGGGGAAUUUUCCGCAAUGGGCGAAAGCCUGACGGAGUGACGCCGCGUGUGGGACGAAGGCCUUCGGUCGGUAACC